Molecule: ribosomal RNA, 546 nt
Filed under: Triticum aestivum (bread wheat)
Lineage: Eukaryota; Viridiplantae; Streptophyta; Magnoliopsida; Poales; Poaceae
Description: partial small subunit ribosomal RNA
Source: RNAcentral
AUGAAGAACCUGUUCAUCCUCGCUCUCCUCGCCUUCACGGCGACAAGCGCUGUUGCGCAGCUGUACACUACCUGUAGCCAGGGCUACGGGCAAUGCCAGCAGCAGCCGCAGCCGCAGCCGCAACCGCAGCCACAGCCGCAGAUGAACACAUGCGCUGCUUUCCUGCAGCAGUGCAGCCAGACAGCAUAUGUCCAGUCACAGAUGUGGCAGGCAAGCGGUUGCCAGUUGAUGCGGCAACAGUGCUGCCAGCCGCUGGCCCAGAUCUCGGAGCAGGCUCGGUGCCAGGCGGUCUGUAGCGUGGCACAGAUCAUCAUGCGGCAGCAGCAAGGGCAACGUUUCGGCCAGCCUCAGCAGCAGCAAGGGCAAAGUUUCGGGCAGCCUCAGCAGCAGGUUCCGGUUGAGAUAAUGGGGAUGGUGCUUCAGACCCUUCCGUCGAUGUGCAGCGUAAACAUCCCACAAUAUUGCACCACCACCCCGUGCAGCACCAUCGCCCCCGCCAUCUACAGCAUCCCCAUGACAGCUACCUGUGCUGGUGGUGCCUGCUAA